UCCAGUCCGAGUUAUACAAUCCCGAAAUAGAAAAAUACGGAAAUGUAAAUCCUAUUCUAAACUAAUCCUAGACUAAGCUCCAAUGCCUCGCCCGAUGCCUCGGGCUCUGAUCACGAACAUCCUCCGUGUACCUGAUACGUCGGGGCAUUUUUCGGUGAAUAAAUACAAUGUGUCUCGAGGCAUUCUCCGGCUAAAUGAAUACAUCUAAAUUAAAUACGACAAACUAAACUAAAAAAAAAACAUUAACACAGAUUCAAACAUUCAAUGCAUUCAACAACACAUCACUCCUAAAUUUUGCCUACUUGAACCUAAACAUUUGUCUACUAGAUUCGAUUUAUCACAAUUCCAACAAAUUCAAUGUAAUUGAAGAUCCAAAAAUUAACACGAAUUCACUUCAUCAUGUUUAACCCCUCCCAAAAUUCCUUUUAACACAUGAACUUCGACAUGAAAAUAGUUAUCAAGCCAUAUCAACAUCAAUUUCAUACCAACAACUAGCUAUUCAAAUAAACAACACCAAGUAUCAACAAAAUUCUCAAUCAGUCAUCGUCAAAUACAUAAUGGUAAUAAGAGAGUCGAGUCGAGUCGAGAAUGGGACCUCAGAAGCUUUCGAUUAACUUGAAAAGACAGAUGAGAGCCGCUCCGAGAACCUCAACGAACACCGAAAUCUCAACUAUGAACCAAUUCGAGCACAAAAAUCCCUCGAAAUCCAAUUCGAAAAGAGAACCCGUGAAGGACAGUGAACGAACUCUAACUUGGUAUUGAGAAACGGAGCCCCGAAACAGACCACAACGAACCCACCGAGAUAAACGAUGUACUCAACACUCCGAUAAGCUCAGACAGCGGCGGAUAUCGAUGAACAAGGCUAAUUCCGGUGAUUUUAACGUUUUCAGGACAGAUUCAUACUUGAAUCGAUCAAAAGGGUGACCUGUAAACCUGAUUCCGGCAAAAAGGUUCACCGGAUAAAAAACUUUUCUUCACUGUGAGAAGACCCGUCUCCUAAAUAUGUGCAUGAAGACCCCUGUAUCACCCCAUCCUCUCCCUUACUGUGUGCCUAUACGUAUAUGGUGUUCUUCAGAGAUUUGGGUGUACCAAAAAGAAAAGAGAAGAUGAAAUUAUGGUGAGUGUGUGAUUUGUGGUGAAGACAGAACCAACAUGGCGUCCCUCCGUAUCGAUAGUGUUUUUUCUUUCGUGAGGUGCGUCUUCUGUGUGUGUGAGUAUAUGAGAGUGAUGACUUGUAUAUGGCAGUGGUGUGUGUGUGCGUUUUUGCGUGCUCUAUUACUGGAAAUGUGAGGUUGUGUGUAGGUUAUAUGGUGGAGAAAUGAUAGAUGAUCCCG
This 1334-nucleotide long non-coding RNA is filed under the name Capsicum annuum. RNAcentral describes it as "long non-coding RNA (CANN_LNC007493)". Lineage: Eukaryota; Viridiplantae; Streptophyta; Magnoliopsida; Solanales; Solanaceae. The record is from RNAcentral.